AUUGAACGCUGGCGGCAGGCCUAACACAUGCAAGUCGAGCGGAUGAAGGGAGCUGGCUCCUGGAUUCAGCAGAGGACGGGUGAGUAAUGCCUAGGAAUCUGACUGGUAGUGAGGGAUAACGUCCGGAAACGGGCUCUCAUACCGCAAACGUCCUGGGGGAGAUAGUGGGGGAACUUCGGACCUCAGGCUUUCAGAUUAGCCUAGGGCGGAUUAGCUAGCUGGCGGGCUGAAGGCCUACCAAGGCGACGAUCCGGAACCGGUCCAAGCGAAUGGUCAGUCACGCUGUAACUGAGACACGGUCCAGACUCCUACCGGAGGCACCGGUGGGGAAUAUUCGACAAUGGGCGAUAGCCUGAUCCACGCAUGCCGCGUGUGUGAAGCAGGUCUUCGGAUUGUAAAGCACUUUGAGUUGCGAGGAAGGGAAGUCAGUUAAUACGUUGCUGCUUUGACGUUACCAUAAGAAUAAGCACCGGCUAACUCCGUG
RNAcentral lists this ribosomal RNA (484 nucleotides) under uncultured bacterium. Its description in RNAcentral is "partial 16S ribosomal RNA". It matches the Rfam family "Bacterial small subunit ribosomal RNA", at positions 30 to 507 of the family's 1533-position model. The record is from RNAcentral.